Molecule: long non-coding RNA, 1596 nt
Organism: Protopterus annectens (West African lungfish)
Lineage: Eukaryota; Metazoa; Chordata; Ceratodontiformes; Protopteridae
Exons: 3
Source: RefSeq, a predicted model, not a curated record
ACAGGCUUUGGAGUCAGAGGCUGUUGCACUAUACAGUAUCUAUGUUAGUAUUGAGGGCAUUGCAUUUUAAAAAGCUGUCAUUUUGAUCGCUGAAGUGCCUGUUCAGUUUCGAUUAACAGAAGUGAACUCCUGUACCAGCUUUUUGUAAUGCAUUCUAAGGACUAUUCAAUGCUGUGAUACAUUUGAAUUAUGGUGAUAACUUCUACUACUGGUAACAACAAAGAACGAUGGCAAUAAGGUCAGAUAUAAGCCUGUCUGUCUUUGAAGGAAAAUCUUGCUACAAUGUUAUGAAUUAUGACCCUAAACAACAUAUCUAGUGAAUUAUCGAUCUUGCAAAGGAAUUUUCAUCAUGCCACAGGACACCCUCUUUGCUGAACUCCAAGGCCUGCAUUGAUAUAUAUACCCUUGUUUAAAAUGGUGUACCAUUGCUUUCACGGCAUAGAAGUGUAUAGUUCCCCAUUACUCCCCAUUGUUUCUAUGAAAUGAAUAACACUGGUAUGACAUAGGCACCAUUUGGAAUUAAUGCUUGUAACUGAUUUUAAGACUCUGCAUUUCCUUUUAGUUACGUGCUAAUAUCCAACACAAAUAUAAAAAUGCCCUAAAUGUAUACAUAAAUAAUGCUUUAAAAUGUAUAUAUAAAACAGAAAAAAAGCAUGUGACAUUAACUGUAGUUUUUGUUAUUGAAUUUGUCACUUUGAAGAAAAUAUGUAUCUUCUGAUUAAUUUUGUGCAUGAUAACAUAUUGUGUGGUUCCAGGCUUUAUACAAUCAAGUUACCUUACAGACUUAUAAAAAUGGAAAGUUUGGAAACCAUGGUUUUCGUAUGUCAGAAUAGUUUAUACUCGGUUGUAUAUUUAAGGUAAGAACAGCUCCAAAGUAACAUGAACAGCAGUAACACAAACACUCAUUGCUCCCCCAUCUUGAAAGGACUCAGUUGGGGUAGUUUAGGUGUCACGUUAGGUCACCCCUUGGGUUCUCCCACAAGAGGUGCACCUGGCAAAACCCAGUAGGAGGGGGCCUUGGAGCAGAUCCAGAACACAUUAGAUGGAUGAGAUCUCCUAGCUUGUCUGGGAAUAUCUGGGAAUCCUGCAGCAUGAGCUGCAGACUAUUGGUGGGGAUAAGAUAGUCUGAUCUGUCCUGCCCUGCUUACUGCACUAUAACCCACACUAGAACUAGCAGAUUAUAAAGUGAUGAUGACAGUGAUGAUGAUGAUGAUAACCAGCACUAAAUUACCCUACAUGCAUUUCUGUUUUCAUUUAACUGCCUUACAAUGUUCAUCUUUGAUGUUUUAACCCAGCUCUGUUGCAAUAGAGGAAUAAAGCUCUAGCUAUGAACCAGAAGAAACUAAUCUGGCAAGUUGUUUGGGUGUAGAAAGAGCCACAUCAGAGAAUGCAGGAAGGAGUAGCACCUGCUUGCCUACCAUAAGGGUGGGAAUGGUGGUCUGAUUGGCUUUGUCGUCUUAUGCAGGUGAUGAAGUUGUGGCCAUUAACUGGGGCUAUGGGCUUGACUUAUGAAGCCGUGACAAUAAUCCUCAAUAGCAUGUGGGUGGAAGCACUCACAUGCAUGGGGGGUGCAUAGUAGACAGCCACAGUGAGAAG